CGCCGCCGGCCGGACGUCCUCGAGGCGGACCGAGCCGGAGCGCUCGCGUCGGGACCCGAAAGGUGGUGAUCUAUCCGUGCGCGCGGCGAAGCCGGGGAAACCCCGGUGGAGGCCCGUCGACGGUACUGACGUGCAAAUCGUUCGUCCGACGUGCGAAUAGGGGCGAAAGACCAAUCGAACCUCCUAGUAGCUGGUUUCCGCCGAAAUUUCCCUCAGGAUAGCGGCCAUCGCGGAAACGUUUUGACCGGUAGAGCGAACGACUAGAGGUACCGGGGCCGUAACGGCCUCGACCUAUUCUCGAACUCCGAACGGGCAAGGAGCCGGGGUCGCCCGAUCGGACCCCGGACGUGAAGUCGACGAUGGUCGGUGGGCUGGUUUUGGUAAGCAGAACGGGCGAUUCGGGAUGAACCGGAAGCGGGGAGAAAGGGCCCGAGAUUGCGUCGACGCGGAUCCCGAAAAGGGCG
This 464-nucleotide ribosomal RNA is filed under the name uncultured eukaryote. RNAcentral's name for it is "eukaryotic LSU rRNA". It matches the Rfam family "Eukaryotic large subunit ribosomal RNA", at positions 760 to 1223 of the family's 3401-position model. The record is from RNAcentral.